Molecule: non-coding RNA, 8061 nt
Organism: Taeniopygia guttata (zebra finch)
Lineage: Eukaryota; Metazoa; Chordata; Aves; Passeriformes; Estrildidae
Source: RefSeq, a predicted model, not a curated record
AAGUGGUUAUAUUUGGCUUAAUGUCACCUGUUGUGGCAUUAAUGGUGGCUUAAUGUCACAUGUCAGGAAUCAUGAGAUGAAAUCAAAAUUCAUAUCUACAAGACUGAUCUGUGUUACCAGUUUAGUGCCCCUGGCACUAUAUUUCACAGAGGGUUCUACCCCUAAAACAACUGAAUUUUACAAGCCCAUGAACAUAGUUGCAGAGGGAGGGUUUUAUCCUGUGUAAACUCAGAUACACUGAUGGCUGGAAGUCACUCUGAGUAUGAUUGUCUCUCAGAGGUAACACAAAAAUUCUUAUGUUUUUCUGGUACAUCUGAGGAAUUUUAUCCUUGAUAGCUCUCCUACCACAACACCAAGGUCAUUCAGACUAUCUAAGCGUUAUAGUGUUAGCAGAAGACACAAAAAUAGAAGAACUGCCUAUAUUUAUCAAGACAAAUUGACAGAACCCCAUUGACACAAAGAUUUACACCAAGCUGCAGUUCUUAGAUUACCAUUCAUAUCUGGAUUUUUUACACUAGCUGACACUGGGCAGGUACAUGCAUUAUAGGACAACUUUUUCAAGCAUGAGCUGAAUAAAAAAGUAGGUUUCCUUCCCUUGCAUCUAUUCCUCACCUGAAACAGUUUCAAGGAAAACAAAAGACAUUUUAGUUGAUGCCAUAGUGGUGGUUUCAGAAAAUACUGGGAAUACAUUCAGUGUUCAGUAUGUACACAAUAAAAAGUCACAGAAUCCUAUGUGAGAGGAAGAUGAGGAAGAAGAACCAGACUGUAUUCAGCAGUUUGGGGUAAAAAGUUCCUUAGACAUUCAAUGUAAUUUUUACCAUAAGCAAUGCCAUAUUGUCAAGGGUCAGACAGGAACAUCUGUUAGGGACUUUAGGCAGAAUCUAUGGACAGCAUUCUCAGUACCCUGUCACAGCAUGCCUUGAAAGAUCCAUAUUCUUCCCUUGCAGGGGUGGAUGAUGGUUUGGGUUUGUGUUGUCACAAAGUUGUCACAGCAGGGGAGAAGGGGCCUAUAUGGAUGGCUUUUGUGAGAAGCUGUCACAAGCCUCCCCUGUCCAUUGAUGCCAAUCCCAGCUGGCACCAGGGUGCAGCCACUGCUGGCCAUGACUGAGGCCAUAGUUGAUGGUAGGUAGCUGUUCUGGGAUAACAAAUUUAAGAAGGGGGAAACAUUACUGUGUAGAAGCAGCUGGGAGAGCCAAGUGAGAAUAUGUGAAAGAAACAUCUCUGCAGAUCCCAAGGUCAGGGAAGAAGGAGGGGCAGGAGGUGCCCCAGAUGCCAGAGCUGAGAUUACCUUGCAGCCCAUGGUGCAGCUGUUGUGAAGUCCCUGAGCCCCUGGAGUCAUGGGAGAUUGAUGGGGAGCAGAAAGCCACCUGCAGCCCAUGGACACCUCACACUGGAGCAUGGGGAUGCCCAAAGGAGGCUGUAGAUCCUGGAAAAGCCCAUGCUGGAGCAGGCUCCUGGCAGGAGAGAGAAGAUGGAGAGAGGAGACCCAUGGAGAGAGGCCUCACUGGGGCAGGUUUCAUCCUGGGAUUUGUGACCCUGUGGGGUUCUAAACUGGGCAGGCUGUUCCUGAAGGACUGCACACUGUGGAAGGGACUCAUUGAAGCAGUUCUUGAAGAGCCAUAGCCCAUGGUUGGAGUUCAUGGAGAGCUCAUGUUGAAGUUGAUGGAGAGUAGUCCCCCAUGGGAGGCGCCCCAUGCUGGAGCAGAGGAACAGAGUCAGGGAGAAGGAGCAUCAGUGCAUGGUAAACUCACUGUAAACUCUUUUUCCAUCUCCCUGUGCAUUGAUCGGCAGGAUAAAAAGGAUUUGGGAGCUAUGGUAAGCCCAGGAAGAAGGGAGGGUUGUGGGAAGAUGUUUUAAGAUUUGGGUUUAUUUCUUAUUAUUUUAAUCAAGUUUUUUUUUGGCAACAAAUUCAGUUAAUUUCACUGAGUCUGGUUUGCCUGAUUGUAAUUGGUGACUGACCUCUCUCCUCUCUCCCUGCCCUGACCUCAACCCAUGACCCUUUUGUUGUAUUUUUCUCUCCCUGUCCAGUUGAGGAGGGCAUUGAGUGGCUUUGGUGAGCACUCGGUGUCCAGAUAGUAUCAAACCACCACAGCUAGUCAUCCCAAGCAGGUUUAGAGCAAGUUAAUGAGAUCAUUGAAGACACCAGGUUCUUGGAAAGGUGUGGUUCCUGCUGCACUGUAUUUCAUUGACUAAUCCCCAGCUGGGCUUCUUUGAACUUGGCAGGGUGCAGAGUUGGUUUUUCUAAUUUUGCCCAGUUAUCUCUUGGUAUGCAAGGGUCUGGAGCUAGCUUUUUUUUGUUUCUUGUAUUUGUUUGGGGGGGAGAGAGAGAGAGAGAGAGAGAAAGGAAAGAAAGAAAGGAAGAAAGAAAGGAAGACAAAAAGGAAGGAAGAAAGAAAGAAAGAACUGCUUUGAGGGAGACAGCAUGUUGCAAUACAAUUUUUCUUGUGGUUGCUUGAUAUGAGUCUGUACAUGCAUAAUAUAUACAUACUUAUCUAAUCAGACAGUGUGCUGCAGUCAUACAAUAUUAAAUCGCAAAUGGUAAGAGUGGAACAAAACAAAGACUGUUGCUUAACUAUACAUAUAAAUUAGAGUGUCCAAUGCACUUUUAAAGUCAUCAAAGUCAUCUCACACAAUUGCUGAUUUGAUAAAUUUUAUGGAUCAUGGUUUGGGCUUGAAUUUGGAAGGGAAAUUAUAAGUAAACAACUAUACAACUUAGUACAGGAUUCUGGAUGUGUUAGAAAUCUAUGGGGGUUUUGUCAGUGGAUUUAUUGAUCCUCUAAAUUCUUGUAUUUUUUCUGCUUCUAUGAGGUAACUGCUGUUUAGUAGAGGUAUACUUUCUCAUUUAGUAAAAGAAAAUUGAAGGAAAAUAUCAUAUUUCAUCUACAUCUGGGCUACUGGGAAAUGAGAGGCAGGGGGACACAUUUUAUGGCAUACAGAGAAAUGCAAGACACAGAGAAAAUUAAUUCUGGGAUCAUUUACAUGCUCCAUCUUUGCCUCACAUGUCAGUGAAUACUUGCUUUUUUCCAGCUGUUGUGGUAUCACUGACUGCCUUGAAGCUUCCAGCAGGAUUCCAAGACUGAAUAACUGAAAUUAAUGGCUAUGUCUUUUCAUAUUAUUUUAAGAUGGAUUGGCCAAAGCUAAUAGCCAGAUACUUUGUUUUUUCUGCAUUUGGUCAUAGUUUUCUAUAACUAUUCAUGUAAUAUUUUCUGUGGGAAAUCUACUCGUAGUUUACUGGACACUUUGACUCCAGAGGAUUCAAAAUUUAAAAUAUCUUAAUGCUGCAAAGAAGCUUCUCAGCCAGUAUAUGUUGUGCAUUGCUCUUUUGUUUUACUCCCGAUUUCAUACCAUCUCUCUUGUCAGAUCAAACUAGUCUGCAAAUAACUGGAUGGUAUCAAGAUUCAUUGCCUUUUGGGUUUGUAAGGGUUGGGCUGAAGGGCUGAAACCACAAUAUGCCAAACUGAAACCCUUCCCUAGGUCUUGAGCAAAUAGAAUUCCUAGUUACCUGAGUGGAUUUUUGUCUUAAUGAGAGUCACAUUAAGAUCUUGCGAUUUGGCUCUGCAUCAAUUCAGAGAAUUACAGGUAUCAUUAAUGAAGUUCCUGACUGAGUUUAAUUAAUUUAUGAUAUCCACUUGCCUCUGUCUCCCAAUGACUCAAAAGGGGAAAGAAUAACCUGCUCUCUCAAUACUAAAAUACUGCAAAUAUAAGUUCAUUUCCUGUAAGAGCUAUUUUCAAUUGUGAAAUGAUAGGCUGAGAAUUUAAAUGCACCAAUCAGAUCUAUUGAAAGACACCUACAAAAUAAAGGCUAAGGAACUAAACAGCAAUAAAAAAGUAAUAUUACUGAAGAAAUACUUAUAUUAAUUCCAAUAGUUCUUCCUCAAAUAGCAAACUCAAUAGCAAAAUUUUGCUUUCUUCUCUGUUCAUAAAUGCUUUUUAAAUGUUAUCUUUCUAGCAGAAAAUUGAAAAACGUGCUUGAAGAUUUCCUGUCUGUUACUUCUCAAAUGUAUUGACCAAGGAAGAUCCAGUGUUAUCUCUUCAAAAGAAAAGGUAAGAAAAUACCUUUAAAAGGUACUGUUUGAUUGGCUUCUUCCAUACUUUGUUGCUGUGGUGUACUUUUAAUGUAUUGUUUCUAAGCCUAAAAGUGUCUUAAAAUUGAAAAAAAAAAAAAAAAAAAAAAAAAGUGUGUAGACCACAAACAGAAUUCCACACUAAAAAAGGUGCCAAAAUAUGAUCUAGCCCAGGUUUCAGACAAGGCCCUGGGGCAAGCAUGUUGGGUAUGGUCCUGUUUUCUGGAACAGUCUAAUGUAUAGCCUCAUGUAGACCCAGGUUUUCUUUCCUUCCUAUUCACUCAUGCACCCUGAAAUUCUUUAGUAUUCUAUUAUCAUCACUCCUUUUGAAAGCUUCUUGUGGUUGAAUGUUUAAGUACACUAAGAGCUGAAUGGUAUUUAAAUGUUAUAAUGAUUCCUUAGAAUUAGAUUUACUCUUUUUAAUCAAGGAUGCAAAGCAGUGUUUCUAGCUCUCAGUGAAGAUUCUGUUGAGACAAAAUCAGUGCAAAACCAGCUGAAUCUGCUUUUACACAUCAGAAGAGUUCUUGAUUUCCUAAUGUCCUUCUCAGUGAAAAAUUAUUUUUAGGAAUGGUUACAUACCUACAUAUGUAGGUAUGUAUACAAACAUCUCCUAACAGAAUUUUCAGCUAAGAAGGAUGUCAGCCUAGCAGCAAUGCUGCUGUGCACCAUGAAGAGAAGUGAUCUUUGAGCAGACAAAGGCACUGAGAAUAUUGGCAAGGAGAACAGGAGAAACUUGGAACUUCUGAGAAACUUGGAGCUGCUUCCAGCCACUGCAUUUGCAAGACUCAGCACCUGUCACAGGGAAGCCAAGUAAAGCAGAAUUAUAGAACACAGAAUUCUUGUUUCUUUUAGAGCUCUGCUAUGGACUCAGUAAAGAUCUUUUUCCUAAAACAUUCAUUUAUCUAAAAUGAAUUUGUCAGUUUCAGAAACCAGUUUCCAGCUAGCUCCAGAUGAAAAAUAAUCUUGUUUUGAUUUAUGUAUUUAAUAUUUAAUACUGAAAAUGUAAAACUACAGCAGUUAUUUUAUAGUGACUGAGAUCAGAAAAUAUAAGGGUAAUUUAUUAUAUUUAUUAUUUUGCUUUAUAAAACAAUAAAUCAACAUUAUUGAAAAUUAAAUGUAUGUUAGACUGUGAGGAACUUUUGAUGUAUAAUAAUGUUUUACAUAUGACCUUUGAAGAUAUGGUGUUAAUCUGAAUUAUUCAUGGAAACCUUGGUUUUUCCUUUUUCCUUUGACUUAAUCAAAUCAAUAAAAGAGUUUAAUUUCUGAAACCUAUUAAUGCUCUGCAGGACAGCAACAGUAAUGAAUUUAUCUUCAGUGGGUUGUUUUGGGGUUUAUUUUGUAUAGGACUGUAAGCAAACAAAGGAAAAUGCAGUAAUCCUAGGAGCUUCUAUACUUUUCUUUAUAGUAGAACCUGAUCAUAGUUUAGAAUCUGAGACUAGUCUUGUAAUGGACUCUAUUGUUCAGAAACUAUAUCAGUUGUAAAAAUUGAUCUGGACAGAAACUGAAACAGGUGUCAGACCAAGAGCAAUUUUUAAAAUCAAUAAUUAAAACCUCGCAUUCAUUUUCAAACAACAAUAUCUAUUUACUAGAGUAGCUUGGCUGUUUCAAGUGUUACAUUGUUCUUUUUUCAUCCUUUUUAAUAUUUCUAAAAAUUUUAAAAAAUUAAGUUCUGUCUUAGUACAGAAAUGAAGUUAGUUACAAAACCAGCUCACCCCGUGCUGCCCCAGAUUUAGGUACAAUAUUGCAAAAAUAUUUCCAAAUCUUUCCUGUAGCAGUCAUGCUGUUCCAGUAUACUUGUCCUAUUGUUUUUUUUACCUUUACACCCUACAUUGAAGAUAGAUCAAAUUUGCAACUCCCUAAAAUGAAUCUUUAUAAGAUUCUGCAGAUACAAUCUUGCUGUAGAGCAUUCUAAUCUGCAUCAUGUGUUGCCCUGAAAAAAAAAAAAAAAGAAAAAUACAUAUCCAGGAUUACAACACAUGACAUUUUAAUCCUAUUUUAAUGUUCAAAAAAUGGUCUAUAUUUGGGUAUUCUGCACUUUUAAAAUUACUAAAAUAAUAAAAAUUGUCACAUGUAUUGUUACAGGCAGGAUUUCUUAAAAUAUGGGUCUGCUGUUAAAUUUCAAAAUUUACAUUAGGAUCUAUAUUUACCUAAAUAUGAGAGCCAUUACAGAUUUAAAUAGUUAUUAAGACAGAAUAUUUAGAUGCUUGAAUAAAGAUUUAAGAUGAUGUCCUGGGAAUGAAUGGGAGUCUGUCAUACAUUUAAACAGAUAUAAGAUUUUAGUCUUGGUCUUUAAGAAUCAGAAUUUAAAAGUACUUAGCACCUAAAAAUGCAGACAGAUAAUAAGAUUUUCUGUUGCUUAUAUCCAUAUAAUAUCAAGGGAAAAUGAAUUCCUAUGUGAAUUUGAAAAUCCCACCUCGCCUCUAUCUACAGUAUCAAAAAUCUCAAUAUUGUGAAUAUGUCUGCGCAGGUAAUUGCCUUAUUGAUAACAUGAUUAUGGAAAUCUGAGUAAUAACCACUUACUUACAAAAACCCAAAACUUGUUUCUGUAGAAUAUGAAAUAUGCCAUCAUAAGAAAGUUUUCUCUUUUUACCCAUGUCCCCUUCCUGGUAAGAAGAUGAGCAGAGGCUGCAUAGGCUCACUGAGAGAGAGGCCUGUGAGGGGUCUCUGUGCUGCACAGAAGGGAUGCUGCCACAGGAUGGAUAUAGUCCCAUCCAUCCUUGAUGGAAAACACUUGAGCUAUUUUUUUUUAUUAGAGCAUGGAUCUUGGCUAGGACAAAAUUUGAUACAGUCCUGUUGUGAUUUGAGCUUUUUCCUUAAGUCAGGUUUGGGCACAUUGUUUUGUUUCUGGGGUUUUAUGGAAAAAUGUUUUUUCCUGCCUGUCUUCAUGAGUGCUUUGUUUUUUCUUUCCUACAAAAGGCAGCAGCACCUAUCUGUGUGGGGCAAUUAAGACCCAAACCAUUCCUGGUACUCCCAGAAGUUAUGUACCACCGUCCAAAAGAGUUCCCAACCCUAAGAGCUGGUCUGCAGUUGUUGGGCUUAAAAACGGCAGUGAACUUAGUUUUGUGGCUUGGACUGAGCAAGGAACAGAUUCUUCAAAUGCUUCCCUAUGCCCUAACCAGCUUCAAUGGUAGAGAAAUUAUUCCCUAGAGGUGAUUUGUCAGCUGUCCUUCAUCACAUCAUCAGUUGCACUUGAAUGGAAGGUUCCUUUUGGCAGACUCCUUACUGCAAUCUCUUAGCUGAUAAUUAAAGUUGCAUUUCCAAAACGUUUCCACUAGUUGCAACAUGUUUUUUAGUUUUAAGUGACUUUUUUCAGCUUCCGAUUUUGGCAUGGCUGCUGGAAAACAUAAGGAAAUAGAUGAUUCUUCACCGUCUUCCCAGUAAUUUAGAAACAUUGUUGAACAAUAGAUCAAAUUGUAGAGACUACUGGCUGAAGGGUAAUAUAUUUAAUACGUUGAAUAUAUUCAAUAUAUGCUGCUUUCAAUGCAAGUUAGAAAAAUGAUAUAGCUUUUAGGCUAACCAUUAAAUUUGUUUUUAGAUAAAUCACGUUUGUAAUGUUUGAAUGAGUUUUUAUAGGAGAAGGUUGUGUGGAGACCUCAUAGUAUCUUCCUUCCUCAUUCUUCCAGUGUCUGAAGGGGGCCUACAGAGAAACUGGGAGACAGAAACCAGGAAACAGGGAGAGGAAAAGGAGGACACAAGGAAGGGGACCCUUCACUGGGAACUGUAGGGAUAGGACAAGCAGUAAUGGGUACAAAUUGAAAGAGGGGGAAAAUAUACUAGCCAUUAGGAAGAAAUUUUUUACCUUGAGAGCGGUGAGAUAGGAAUAGGUUUCCCAGAGACUUUGGGAAUGCCCCAUUCCUGGCAAUGUUCAAAGCCAGACUGGAUAAAGCCUUGAACAACCUGGUCUAGUGGGAGGUGUCCCUGCACAUGGCAGGGGGGUUGAGAAGUCCAUAUUUGAAGUCCAUUCCAACUCUUUAACAGUCUGUAAUUUCUGUGUGGG